RNAcentral lists this ribosomal RNA (460 nucleotides) under uncultured bacterium. Its description in RNAcentral is "partial 16S ribosomal RNA". It matches the Rfam family "Bacterial small subunit ribosomal RNA", at positions 338 to 795 of the family's 1533-position model. The record is from RNAcentral.
CCUACGGGAGGCAGCAGUGAGGAAUAUUGGUCAAUGGACGCAAGUCUGAACCAGCCAUGCCGCGUGCAGGAAGAAGGCUCUAUGAGUUUAAAACUCUUUUUGUACGAGGGAAAAAGAAGAUACGCGUAUCAGACUGAAAGUCUCGUACGAUUAAGGAUCGGCUAACUCCGUGCCAGCAGCCGGGGUAAUCCGGAGGUUGCAAGCGUAAUCCGGAUUUAUUGGGUUGAAAGGGUGCGUAGGCGGUCGGAUAAGUUAGAGGUGAAAUCCCGAGGCUAAACUUCGGAAUUGCCUCUGAUACUGUUUGGCUAGAGAGCAGUUGCGGUAGGCGGAAUGUAUGGUGUAGCGGUGAAAUGCUUAGAGAUCAUACAGAACACCGAUUGCGAAGGCAGCUUACCAAGCUACUACUGACGUUGAGGCACGAAAGCGUGGGGAGCAAACAGGAUUAGAUACCCGAGUAGUC